GACGAACGCUGGCGGCGUGCUUAACACAUGCAAGUCGAACGGAAAGGCCCUUCGGGGUACUCGAGUGGCGAACGGGUGAGUAACACGUGGGUGAUCUGCCCUGCACUUUGGGAUAAGCCUGGGAAACUGGGUCUAAUACCGAAUAGGACCGCGCGCUUCAUGGUGUGUGGUGGAAAGCUUUUGCGGUGUGGGAUGGGCCCGCGGCCUAUCAGCUUGUUGGUGGGGUAAUGGCCUACCAAGGCGACGACGGGUAGCCGGCCUGAGAGGGUGACCGACCACACUGGGACUGAGAUACGGCCCAGACUCCUACGGGAGGCAGCAGUGGGGAAUAUUGCACAAUGGGCGCAAGCCUGAUGCAGCGACGCCGCGUGAGGGAUGACGGCCUUCGGGUUGUAAACCUCUUUCACCAGGGACGAAGCGCAAGUGACGGUACCUGGAGAAGAAGCACCGGCCAACUACGUG
This 462-nucleotide ribosomal RNA is filed under the name uncultured bacterium. RNAcentral describes it as "partial 16S ribosomal RNA". It matches the Rfam family "Bacterial small subunit ribosomal RNA", at positions 28 to 507 of the family's 1533-position model. The record is from RNAcentral.